UCGAGAAUUUUUCACAAUGGGGGAAACCCUGAUGGAGCGACGCCGCGUGGGGGAUGAAUGGCUUCGGCCCGUAAACCCCUGUCAUUCGCGAACAAUGCCUGCGGGAUAACACCUCGCAGGUUGAUAGUAGCGGAAGAGGAAGGGACGGCUAACUCUGUGCCAGCAGCCGCGGUAAUACAGAGGUCCCAAGCGUUGUUCGGAUUUACUGGGCGUAAAGGGUGCGUAGGCGGUCGGGUAAGUCUGAUGUGAAAUCUCCGAGCUUAACUCGGAAAUGGCAUUGGAUACUAUUCGGCUUGAGGUCUGGAGGGGGGACUGGAAUUCUCGGUGUAGCAGUGAAAUGCAUAGAUAUCGAGAGGAACACCAGUGGCGAAGGCGAGUCCAUGGACAGGUCCUGACGCUGAGGCACGAAAGCUAGGGGAGCAAACAGG
RNAcentral lists this ribosomal RNA (428 nucleotides) under uncultured prokaryote. RNAcentral's name for it is "bacterial SSU rRNA". It matches the Rfam family "Bacterial small subunit ribosomal RNA", at positions 355 to 776 of the family's 1533-position model. RNAcentral also lists the same sequence under 1 other name. The record is from RNAcentral.